GUGCCAGCAGCCGCGGUAAUACGGAGGGUGCAAGCGUUAUCCGGAUUCACUGGGUUUAAAGGGUGCGUAGGUGGGUUGAUAAGUCAGUGGUGAAAUCCCCGAGCUUAACUUGGGAACUGCCAUUGAUACUAUUGAUCUUGAAUACCGUGGAGGUCAGCGGAAUAUGUCAUGUAGCGGUGACAUGCUUAGAUAUGACAUAGAACACCAACUGCGAAGGCAGCUGGCUACGCGAAUAUUGACACUGAUGCACGAAAGCGUGGGGAUCAAACAGGAUUAGAUACCCUGGUAGUCCACGCCCUAAACUAUGGACACUCGACAUCAGCGAUACACUGUUGGUGUCUGAGCGAAAGCAUUAAGUAUCCCACCCGGGAAGUACGAUCGCAAGAUUGAA
RNAcentral lists this ribosomal RNA (391 nucleotides) under uncultured bacterium. RNAcentral's name for it is "bacterial SSU rRNA". It matches the Rfam family "Bacterial small subunit ribosomal RNA", at positions 505 to 898 of the family's 1533-position model. The record is from RNAcentral.